This 424-nucleotide ribosomal RNA is filed under the name uncultured bacterium. Its description in RNAcentral is "partial 16S ribosomal RNA". It matches the Rfam family "Bacterial small subunit ribosomal RNA", at positions 360 to 776 of the family's 1533-position model. The record is from RNAcentral.
AAUUUUGGACAAUGGGCGCGAGCCUGAUCCAGCCAUGCCGCGUGAGUGAAGAAGGCCUUCGGGUUGUAAAGCUCGUUCGGACGGCAAGAAAUCGCGCAGGCCGAUACCCUGCGCGGAUGACGGUAGCGACAUAAGAAGCACCGGCCGACCACGUGCCAGCCGCCGCGGUCAUACGUAGGUUGCUAGCGUUAAGCGGACUUACUGGACGUAAAGCGUGCGCAGGCGGUUGAUUAAGACAGGCGUGAAAUCCCUGGGCUUAACCUGGGAACUGCGCUUGUGACUGGUCAGCUAGAGUACGGCAGAGGGGGGUGGAAUUCCACGUGUAGCAGUGAAAUGCGUAGAGAUGUGGAGGAACACCGAUGGCGAAGGCAGCCCCCUGGGCCGAUACUGACGCUCAUGCACGAAAGCGUGGGUAGCAAACAGG